RNAcentral lists this ribosomal RNA (433 nucleotides) under uncultured bacterium. RNAcentral describes it as "partial 16S ribosomal RNA". It matches the Rfam family "Bacterial small subunit ribosomal RNA", at positions 29 to 507 of the family's 1533-position model. The record is from RNAcentral.
AACGAACGCUGGCGGCAUGCCUAACACAUGCAAGUCGAACGAGACCUUCGGGUCCAGUGGCGCACGGGUGCGUAACGCGUGGGAACCUGCCCUUAGGUUCGGAAUAACUCCCCGAAAGGGGUGCUAAUACCGGAUAAUGUCUUCGGACCAAAGAUUUAUCGCCUUUGGAUGGGCCCGCGUUGGAUUAGCUAGUUGGUAGGGUAAAAGCCUACCAAGGCGACGAUCCAUAGCUGGUCUGAGAGGAUGAUCAGCCACACUGGGACUGAGACACGGCCCAGACUCCUACGGGAGGCAGCAGUGGGGAAUAUUGGACAAUGGGCGAAAGCCUGAUCCAGCUAUGCCGCGUGAGUGAUGAAGGCCUUAGGGUUGUAAAGCUCUUUUACCCGGGAUGAUAAUGACAGUACCGGGAGAAUAAGCUCCGGCUAACUCCGUG